Molecule: transfer RNA, 73 nt
Filed under: Marmota monax (woodchuck)
Lineage: Eukaryota; Metazoa; Chordata; Mammalia; Rodentia; Sciuridae
Description: tRNA.Ala
Source: RNAcentral
UGGGGUUGUGGCUCAGUGGUAGAGUGCUCCCCGAGCACGUGGGAGGCCCUGGGUUCGAUCCUCAGCACCACAA